Molecule: ribosomal RNA, 681 nt
Filed under: Pantoea sp.
Lineage: Bacteria; Pseudomonadati; Pseudomonadota; Gammaproteobacteria; Enterobacterales; Erwiniaceae
Description: bacterial SSU rRNA
Rfam family: Bacterial small subunit ribosomal RNA
Source: RNAcentral
CAGAGAGCUUGCUCUCGGGUGACGAGUGGCGGACGGGUGAGUAAUGUCUGGGGAUCUGCCCGAUAGAGGGGGAUAACCACUGGAAACGGUGGCUAAUACCGCAUAACGUCGCAAGACCAAAGAGGGGGACCUUCGGGCCUCUCACUAUCGGAUGAACCCAGAUGGGAUUAGCUAGUAGGCGGGGUAACGGCCCACCUAGGCGACGAUCCCUAGCUGGUCUGAGAGGAUGACCAGCCACACUGGAACUGAGACACGGUCCAGACUCCUACGGGAGGCAGCAGUGGGGAAUAUUGCACAAUGGGCGCAAGCCUGAUGCAGCCAUGCCGCGUGUAUGAAGAAGGCCUUCGGGUUGUAAAGUACUUUCAGCGGGGAGGAAGGCAUUGUGGUUAAUAACCGCAGUGAUUGACGUUACCCGCAGAAGAAGCACCGGCUAACUCCGUGCCAGCAGCCGCGGUAAUACGGAGGGUGCAAGCGUUAAUCGGAAUUACUGGGCGUAAAGCGCACGCAGGCGGUCUGUUAAGUCAGAUGUGAAAUCCCCGGGCUUAACCUGGGAACUGCAUUUGAAACUGGCAGGCUUGAGUCUCGUAGAGGGGGGUAGAAUUCCAGGUGUAGCGGUGAAAUGCGUAGAGAUCUGGAGGAAUACCGGUGGCGAAGGCGGCCCCCUGGACGAAGACUGACGCU